GAAUAUUGGACAAUGGGCGCAAGCCUGAUCCAGCCAUACCGCGUGGGUGAAGAAGGCCUUCGGGUUGUAAAGCCCUUUUGUUGGGAAAGAAAUCCAGCUGGUUAAUACCCGGUUGGGAUGACGGUACCCAAAGAAUAAGCACCGGCUAACUUCGUGCCAGCAGCCGCGGUAAUACGAAGGGUGCAAGCGUUACUCGGAAUUACUGGGCGUAAAGCGUGCGUAGGUGGUCGUUUAAGUCCGUUGUGAAAGCCCUGGGCUCAACCUGGGAACUGCAGUGGAUACUGGGCGACUAGAGUGUGGUAGAGGGUAGCGGAAUUCCUGGUGUAGCAGUGAAAUGCGUAGAGAUCAGGAGGAACAUCCAUGGCGAAGGCAGCUACCUGGACCAACACUGACACUGAGGCACGAAAGCGUGGGGAGCAAACAG
Molecule: ribosomal RNA, 424 nt
Filed under: uncultured bacterium
Lineage: Bacteria
Description: bacterial SSU rRNA
Rfam family: Bacterial small subunit ribosomal RNA
Source: RNAcentral